GUGACUAGUAAGCUGCCUUGGUGGGUUGCUGAGUGGGCAGAGACCACGGGAGUAGCCUGGUUGGAGCCUGGUUGUUGGAGGGGCAGACCAACUGUCUCCCCUUUAGAUACACAGCUCUGCUGCUGGAGGGGUAGACCGACUGUCUCCCCUUUGGCUAAACAGCCCUGUUGCUGGGGGCAGGACCGACCGUCCCUACCCCCUGUGCUGUAAGUGCAGAGACCACGGUCCCAUCUGCACGGUUGUGGGGCUUACUGUCUCCCCCUUGUACGUUAAGCUGCUGCUGGGGAGAGGGGGUAACAAGCUCCUCUCCCAUAUAUACUUCCAGCCGCUGGGAAAGGAGACCGACUGUCUCUGCUCCCAAUACAGAGUCCUGCUGCUGGGGAAAGGAGACUGGGCU
Molecule: non-coding RNA, 397 nt
Organism: Pelobates cultripes (western spadefoot toad)
Lineage: Eukaryota; Metazoa; Chordata; Amphibia; Anura; Pelobatidae
Source: the annotation of a GenBank genome assembly